This 1632-nucleotide ribosomal RNA is filed under the name Triticum aestivum (bread wheat). RNAcentral's name for it is "partial small subunit ribosomal RNA". The record is from RNAcentral. Lineage: Eukaryota; Viridiplantae; Streptophyta; Magnoliopsida; Poales; Poaceae.
AUGGGCAACUGCUGCCGUUCGCCGGCCGCCGCCGCGCGGGAGGACGUCAAGUCCUCGCACUUCCCCGCCUCCGCCGCCGCCAGGAAGAAUAAGCCGCACCAGCCCCGGAGCGGCGCCGCGGGGACCGGCGGGGGAGGCGGGCAGAAGCGGCUGGCCGUGCUGGGCGAGGAGGGGUGCGACUUCAUCGGCGGGAUCGACGACAAGUACCUGCUGGACCGGGAGCUGGGGCGCGGGGAGUUCGGGGUGACGUACCUCUGCGUCGACCGGGACACCAAGGAGCAGCUCGCCUGCAAGUCCAUCUCCAAGCGCAAGCUGCGCACCCCCGUGGACGUGGAGGACGUGCGGCGGGAGGUGGCCAUCAUGCGCCACCUGCCCCGGAGCCACAGCAUCGUGGCCCUGCGGGAGGCGUGCGAGGACGAGGGCGCCGUGCACCUCGUCAUGGAGCUCUGCGAGGGCGGCGAGCUCUUCGACCGCAUCGUCGCCAGGGGCCACUACACGGAGCGCGCCGCCGCCAACGUCACCCGCACCAUCGUCGAGGUCGUGCAGCUCUGCCACCGCCACGGCGUCAUCCACCGGGACCUCAAGCCCGAGAACUUCCUCUUCGCCAACAAGAAGGAGAACUCGCCGCUCAAGGCCAUCGAUUUCGGCCUCUCCAUUUUCUUCAAGCCCGGUGAAAAGUUUUCAGAAAUUGUUGGAAGCCCUUAUUACAUGGCUCCCGAAGUAUUGAAGAGAAACUAUGGACCGGAAAUAGACAUAUGGAGUGCCGGGGUUAUCUUAUAUAUUUUACUAUGUGGAGUUCCUCCAUUUUGGGCCGAGACCGAACAAGGGGUAGCACAAGCUAUUCUUCGUGGAAAUAUCGAUUUUAAGCGGGAACCCUGGCCUAAUGUAUCGGAAAAUGCUAAAGAUUUGGUUCGACGUAUGUUGGAACCAGAUCCAAAGCUCAGGUUAACUGCAAAGCAGGUUCUUGAGCACCAUUGGCUUCAAAAUGCUAAGAAAGCUCCAAAUGUUCCUCUUGGCGAUAUUGUCAAGUCAAGGCUUAAGCAAUUUUCGAGAAUGAAUAGAUUCAAAAGAAGAGCUCUAAGAGUCAUCGCUGAUCAUUUGUCAGCUGAGGAAGUUGAGGAUAUAAAGGAGAUGUUUAAGGCAAUGGAUACUGACAAUGAUGGCAUUGUCUCUUGUGAAGAAUUGAAGAGUGGGAUAGCAAAAUUUGGCUCUCACCUUGCGGAAUCAGAAGUGCAGAUGCUUAUUGAAGCUGUGGAUACAAACGGUAAAGGAGUACUAGAUUAUGCCGAAUUUCUAGCUGUCUCUCUUCAUCUGCAAAGGAUGGCAAAUGACGAGCACCUUCGGCGGGCCUUCUUAUUCUUCGACAAGGAUGGCAAUGGUUACAUCGAGCCGGACGAGCUUCGAGAGGCUCUGAAGGAUGACGGAGCAGCUGAUAGCAUGGAAGUUGUGAAUGACAUACUGCAAGAAGUUGACACCGAUAAGGAUGGCAAAAUUAGCUACGACGAAUUCGUGGCGAUGAUGAAGACGGGCACAGACUGGAGAAAGGCAUCACGGCACUACUCGAGAGGCAGAUUCAACAGCCUUAGCAUGAAGCUUGUGAAGGACGGUUCCGUCAAAUUGGGCGUGGAGUAA